GGAAAUAAAUGACUGGAUGGUCGCUGCUUUUUAAGUUUCAAAUUGACAUUCCAGACAAGCGGUGCCUGAGCCCGUGCCUGUCUUCAGAUCUUCACAGCACAGUUCCUGGGAAGGUGGAGCCACCAGCCUCUCCCUGGCUCUGCCGACUUCCAGUUCUGGAACAAGAUGGUUAAACUCAUUUUUCCCUGCUCUGCUCCUCUAAAUACAACUAAGUACCUUGGAAACUAUUCAGCAGACAAUGAUAAAGGGCUCUGAAAGCUAGAAGAAAAGGUGUACUUGCAAGAAACCUCAGGACUUGAGUAACAGCAACAUGAACAAUCCAUUUCACAGAUGAAGAAACAGACUCAGUGAGCACGUGAUCACUUCUCACAACUAAUGGAGCCAAGAUUCUGUCCUUAUGGCUCCAGAGACCUCUUUUUUUUCCCACUGUACCACAACACUCACCAGGACUGGAGUGCCACCUAUGACCUCAUUGCAUAAUGGAUGGCUUGUCCUCAAAUGGGCCCGGCUGGAGGUACCAUGCACCUUUGAGGGACCAAGGACCCAAGACUUGAGGUAGACACUAUUCCCAGCUGGAUACUCUCAAUGUUGAGGAUAUAGAUGCACAAACCAAUGCAGGGAGGCCUCCAGGAGCCACUGGAGAAGAAAUCUUCAGAUCCUACCAGGCCCAUAGCUGUUGCCUUUGUGGGCUCCUGGGUUAAUUUCCACACAUCAGUGGCCCACCUUAUGAUAUCCUCCCUGCAUGCCACACUCCCGGCCAUGCUCUGUGGACAGCCAUUAUUUCCAGUAAUUGCUAAUGGGAGCCAGUCUCCAAAGAGUAAUGAAUCAGAGGUGUUCCUUGGAAUGUGUUACACUAGGACUUCGCCGAUCUCACAGGCUCCUUUCCAGAUGAGCUGACUGUAAUCUCUGGGAAGCUGGAUCUGGAGGAACAAUGGGAUGGGAUUUGCGGUGACCCUUCCUGCCCUUCUUGAGCAGCUUGUGAACCAGAAGAUGUGCCUGGAGAGAAAGCCUCAUUUGGGGAAGUGCAGUAGUCGAAGUUCUUUAUUUUGAAAAUGGAGAACAACCCUUCUCACAAUCCUGUCUCCCCUUCCCCCUUUCCAACUAGAAUAUCAGCUCCCCUGAACAUGAGUCAGUCACAUUUCAGGGAAAACUGGCUGAUGUUGAAGAAAUCACUUGAGGGCAAACUUUGUCCUUCAAGCUGUGGGUCUCUGAAGUGUAGAGCCAGCAGAUCCCCCAGUGUAGGGACUGGGCCUUCCUUGCCCAUUGAAUGCUUUCUAUACAUGAAGACUUGGAGCUCUUUACAGAUGACAGUAGCCAGUGAGGAAGAUAAAAGAAGAGAAAAGACCCAAAAUGCGGGUUUGCCACUCUUUUUUGCCAGCACCGUGGGGACAGUCACUCUGCCUUCUUUCCACCACCUCCAACUUCACACUCACACGCACACUCUGGUCCCACAGAGCCUGUUUGGUACUUGCCUGACAGCCCACCUUGAAACCAGAUGGUCAUGAACCUGUCACCAAGUCAUCUGAAGAUCUUCCACUGCAACCUGUAUGGCAUCUGCCACAGGGACCAUGGGACAUGAUUGAAGAACCACUCCAGUGCAGUUGAUGAAGGGGUGGGUCUGCACUGGAGUUAGGUGCACCAGGGCCUGGGCCAAGGGUGGGCUGGGUCCAUCUUGUGUGUGGUGGUCUUCUUCAGAGUAGCAGCUGAUUCAGAGGGAUUCCAUAGAACUGCACAGGCUAGGUCUAGUCAGAUAUCUUGGACAUUUUCUAUUUCUAGAUUAGAGAAUAUAGCAUACGCUGAUUUUAAUAUAACUGUGUAUGUGACUUUUUCAGUGAGAAAAAUUUUAAGUGAUGUUCUAAACAAUUUUUGGCAUGUAGACAGAAUAGUCAAAUAUCUGUUUAACUAGCAACAUAGUUACUCGUGCAUAUUUAAAAUACUACAUGAGUAUGGCCUGGCACAGUGGCUCAUGCCUGUAAUCCUAGCACUCUGGGAGGCCGAGGUGAGCAUAUUGCCUGAGUUCAGUUUGAGACCACUUUGGACAACAUGGUGAAACCCUGACUCUAUAAAAAUACAAAAAUGUAGCCAGGUGUGGUGGUGCGUGCCUGUAGUCCCGGCUACUUGGGAAGCUGAGGUGCAAGAAUUGCCUGAACCUGAGAGGCAGAGGUUGCAGUGACCUGAGAUUGUGUCACUGCACUCCAGCCUAGGUGACAGAGCAAGACUACAUCUCAAAAAAUAAAACAAAAUAAAAUAGGCCCUGUGCCGUGGCUCACGCCUGUAAUUCCAGCAUUUUGGGCAGCUGAGGCGGGCAGACCACCUGAGGUCAGGAGUUCAAGACCAGCCUGACCGACAUGGUGAAACCCCAUCUAUACUAAAUACAAAAAAUUAGCCAGGUAUGGUGAUGCAUGCCUGUAGUCCAAGCUACUUGGGAGGCUGAGGCAGGAGAGAAUGGCUUCAACCUGGGAGGCAGAGGUUGCAGUGAGCCGAGAUUGCGCCACUGCACUCCAGCCUGGGUGAUAGAGCAAGACUUCGUCUCAAACAAUAAAAUAAUAAAAUAAAAU
Molecule: long non-coding RNA, 2558 nt
Filed under: Homo sapiens (human)
Lineage: Eukaryota; Metazoa; Chordata; Mammalia; Primates; Hominidae
Description: PREDICTED lncRNA (TCONS_00160896)
Source: RNAcentral